This is a non-coding RNA of Acanthosepion pharaonis, 99 nucleotides long. Lineage: Eukaryota; Metazoa; Mollusca; Cephalopoda; Sepiida; Sepiidae. The record is from the annotation of a GenBank genome assembly.
GUUGAAACACCGGUUCCUGUACGAUCACUGAAGUUAUGCAACGUCGACCCCGGUCAGUACCUAGAUGGGUGACCAGUUAGGAAUACCAGCUGCAGCAAG